GUGUCAGGGGCAGCUGCUGGAAGGAGGCGCAAGCACCACGGAGAGUCUGGGAUGCCCAGCCAAGGAGCCCUGGAAGGGUUGCCCUGGGGACUGACACUGUGGGCUCUGUGUUUUAGCCAAGUCACCCAGGCAGCUGAACAGAAGAUGGACUGGAGGGAGAAGCCUGGAUGUAGGAUCGCUCAGCAACAAAGGAGCCAGAAAAGGCAAGGUGUACACACCGUGUGCAGCAUGGGCGAGCUGCAGGCAUGCAGGUAAGAGUGUGUGCAUGCAGGUGUGUGCACACGAGUUUGCAUGUGCUGAUGCAGAUGGCUAUGAUGCGUGGUGGUGAUAUAUACAUGUGGAUGCUUAUGGAUCUGUGCCAACCAUUAUUAAGCACAUAUGUAUACCCGUGUGUGUAUAUGCAUGCAUGUGUUUGUGUGAGUUGCAAUGUGUAUACAACUUUACACAAUAAGUGAAUUGAGUACAUGUACCUGUUUAUCCACGGAAGUGUAUGAUGACUGGACAUAUGUAAAUAUGUGUAUUUGCAUGUGUUUAUACUUUGUGCAUAGAUGCAUGUUUGUGUAUUUAUGCUGAUCCAUUUAAGCGUAUGGGAUGUGUGUGGAUGUUUGUGUAACAUCUGUACAUACUCCAUAGGUGCAUCUUAAUACAGGAAUAUGGGUGCGAUGUGUAUGUGUGUGUGUGUGCCUGUGUGAACAGGUGCGGCUGGAGGUCUAUGAGUGUGUGGAUAGGUAUAUUUGCCUGUGCGCAUGUGCGAUUCACGUGGUGUGAGUGCACAUGGUCGCAGGCAAAUGUCUGUGUGGGCACACACAUGCCCUGUUGCCCUUUUCUGUCUUUUCCUGUUGGGAAAUUACAGAACUUCUGAGUCCUAACCAUGGCUGGUGGCUCUUCCAGGAACAUGGUUUCCUGGACCCAAAAGGUAAGCUUGUCAGGGACCCACGUGAAUGAGGAAGUGGGUGGGCCUGAGUCUGGGGCUCCUCUGAGAACUGCUGUGGACCAGGGAAAUCUUGCUGCCACCUCUGGUCUUUAGUCCACCUCUCAGUAGUAGCUUUCAAAGCUUGAUUUUUUUGGAGGCGUCUCCACGGAGCAUAGUCCUAAGCUCCUAGCCUACAUUGUCCCUGUUCCUGGGCCUGUUUGGUUGACAUUCUCUUACAGUUUAAAAAAGACAUCCACAUCCGUACUCUUAGCUAAUCCUUGUGACCUUUCUUCUAGUCUGUUUGGAGAGGCUGGGAGCAGAGUGGUUAAAAGAGCCAGGCCUGGUUCCAUUUCUGACCCCUCUUCUAGCUGAGCAACUUCCGCCUCUUCCAGCCUCCCUCACGGGAAUCACAGAUCACGUGAGAUGACACCCAUGAAGGGCUUGACUGGCAUCUGGCACAUGGUGAGGACUGCAAAAAUGUGGGCUAUUGUUUUUACUAUUAUCCCCAUUUUAUAGAUGAGGAAACUGAGGCUUGGAGAGGCUCUCUGCCUUUGUCAACCUGGAGAUGCUGGGAAGGAAGUGAGGCCCAUCCCACCUCAGAUGCCUGUCCUCUGUCGUCAGGAGCAUUCUCUUGUUCUUCCGGGCUUGGCCAAGCGGUGGUAAACCCCACAUGUGGUUCUGUGGUUGCCCACACAGUCCUAAAAAUAGCCAACAGGAACCCAGGGGCUCCCCCUUGGUGAGUGGCAGCAGGCCCAGUCCUCAGGCAGCCACCAACCUGCUCACUCCCCACAGGCAAGCAGGUCCUGUCUAGGAAGGGGCUGGGUGGCCUGGGUCCCAUGCAUGAUGAGCCAGAGGCUGUGCCAAGCUUAUAGCAAAUAUUAUUUUAUUUCAUUAUGUUUUCUUACAUCUGUGAUGUGGAGGCCAUAGCUCCACUGGACUCAUGAGGAGACUGAGGCUCAGAGCAAUGAAGUGACCUGCUCAAAGUUAAGGAGCUUCAGUUUGGACCCAAUUUGUUCUGAUCCUAAGGUCACUAUCCUUAAUCCCUCUCCCUGUGGGGUCUUCCCUAUCUUGAGCCUGUGGACAGCUGUGCAGUGGCAAGAAAAAGGCCUUCAGAGCUACGCAGACCUGGCUUCAAAUCCCAGCCUCCCUGAUGAGCCCUGGUGGUCUUGCAUGCUUGCCCUUGGGACUCAGACACCAUAUUGUGAGGAAGCCCAAGCUACAUGCAGAGGCCACUAUAGUUGUUCUGGCCAACAGCCCAAGCUUCAGCUGCCAGACAUAUAAAUAAACCAACUCUUCAAAUGAUUUCAGUUUCCAGACUUCAGUGCAUCCCAGGAGCUGUAACGCUCACUGCGAAGAUCUGCAGCUUCACUCCUGAGCCCAGCGAGACCGUGAACCCACCGGGAGGAACGAACAACUCCAGACCCGCUGCCUUAAGAGCUGUAACACUCACUGCGAAGGUCUGCAGCUUCACUCCUGAGCCAGCGAGACCACGAACCCACCCGAAGGAAGAAACUCCGAACACAUCUGAACAUCAGAAGGGAUAGACUCCAGAUGCGCCACCUUAAGAGCUGUAACACUCACCGCGAGGGUCCGCAGCUUCAUUCUUGAAGUCAAUGAGACCAAGAACCCACCAAUUCCGGACACAAAAUGACACAGUCCCUGCCCACAUGGAGCUGACAUUCUCAUGGAGAGAAAGGGACAAAUAAACAAAUGUACAAUACUCCAAGUAGUCAUAGUGCUGUGAAGAAAAUAAAGUGAUACAAGGGAACUAUGAGAACCUUGGGAAUGGGGGCGCUGUUUUAAACAGGCCCAUUUGGAAGUUUCUCUUUCCUUUGAGCCAAGUCCUGAAGGAAAUGAGAGAGGGAUAUGGGGGGAAGAAUGUUCCAGGCAGAGAGAUCAGCCAGUGCAAAGGCCCUGAGGCAGGAGUGUGCCCCAAGGGGUGUAGGAACAGUGUGGAGCUGGUAGGGCUGUGGCAGAGUGAGGGUGAGAGAGAAAGGAAGGGGGUGAUGGGCCUGGGGGGCAGACCAUGCUGAGCAGCGGCUUUUAAUUUUUAUUGAUUACAUCUUCCAUAAGAAAUCAGUUUUAUAUGGCAAUCCAAGACAGAUAUCCACAUAUAAACAUACAACUGAGAUAAACUAUAUGUGUGCACUCUGAUAUAUUUUAUUUUAUUUUAUUCUGUUUCAUUAAAAAAUAACAUGAGUA
Molecule: long non-coding RNA, 3115 nt
Filed under: Homo sapiens (human)
Lineage: Eukaryota; Metazoa; Chordata; Mammalia; Primates; Hominidae
Description: HSALNT0363907
Source: RNAcentral